Vicia faba (fava bean) is the source of this 324-nucleotide non-coding RNA. Lineage: Eukaryota; Viridiplantae; Streptophyta; Magnoliopsida; Fabales; Fabaceae. The record is from the annotation of a GenBank genome assembly.
AUGGUAUCAGGUCAGAUUCGCUUAGGCCCAUUUGGCCAAAAGGAUAAGCAUUCUAACAAAAAAAACAAAGAAAAAAAACCUAGUUCCAUAAUCAGCCUCCACCUCAUGUUGUUAUCUAACCCAAAAAAUUUCAUCUAUUACAUUCGAUUUUCCAUAAAUUACCAAUCAGGAUCCAUUCAAAACCCUAAUAAAAAAGGAACGCUCUUUCUCAAUCAAUCGCAUGAAGUUUCUUUUCCUUUGUAUUUUGAUCAUCCUCAACUGAUUCUCUCACUCUCUAAUUUCACGGUUUCAUCUUUCUCGGUGCGAUAUUUUCUCACACGAUAA